Molecule: ribosomal RNA, 429 nt
Filed under: uncultured prokaryote
Description: bacterial SSU rRNA
Rfam family: Bacterial small subunit ribosomal RNA
Source: RNAcentral
UGGGGAAUAUUGGGCAAUGGGCGAAAGCCUGACCCAGCGACGCCGUGUGGGCGAUGAAGGCCUUCGGGUUGUAAAGCCCUGUUGGGUGGAAAGAAGGACUCCUGGACGAAUAAUCCAGAAGUUUUGACGGUACCACCAGAGGAAGCACCGGCUAACUCCGUGCCAGCAGCCGCGGUAAUACGGAGGGUGCAAGCGUUGUUCGGAAUUACUGGGCGUAAAGGGCGCGUAGGUGGUUGUGUAAGUCGGAUGUGAAAUCCCCAGGCUCAACUUGGGAACCGCAUCUGAUACUGCAUGACUAGAGUACAGCAGAGGGAAACGGAAUUCCUGGUGUAGAGGUGAAAUUCGUAGAUAUCAGGAGGAACACCGGUGGCGAAGGCGGUUUCCUGGGCUGAUACUGACACUGAGGCGCGAAAGCGUGGGUAGCAAACA